Long non-coding RNA from Hermetia illucens (black soldier fly), 905 nucleotides. RefSeq lists it as uncharacterized. The transcript has 3 exons. The record is from RefSeq and is a predicted model, not a curated record. NCBI's taxonomy places the organism in Eukaryota, Metazoa, Arthropoda, Insecta, Diptera, Stratiomyidae.
UUCAUCAAAUGGCAUCUACACAAUUGCUCUAGAUACGUGUGUGCUCGUUGCGACGAUGCUAAAAAAUGGUGAAAAAAUAAAAAAAGUGUUUCAAGUGUUCGCACGAGUUCUGGAUAAAUGUCGAUAAAAUGUUGCUUUUAAAUGCAAUCAAUUACAGUUUGUUCGAUUUCUGUUCCUUUCGUUGGUCUUGGGGCUCAUAUUAUGGGGAGCUGACUACGCGACAGAUACACUGACAGCGACAGUGGGCACCGUUGUUUUGAUACUUACAGCCUUGGAUGGCGGCCCACUUGAACGUAAUCGACGUAAAGAUGCUAGUGACGUAUGCACGAAAGUUUCAAUGAGAUUUUCACAGAAUGUCUGAAGAUGGGAUUACGGUAAGAUUUGAACAAGUGGCAGGUUAACCGAUAAAAGGUAAUGCGAUACUCAGUAGGUAAUUGCCUAGAAGCAACAAGCUUUGAAAUAGCAAUGAAUGGCGGAAAAUUAACAUGUAAAGAAUUUCCUCUUGUUUUAAUGUGGACAAUUAUGCAAAUUUUGUAAAUCUGAAUGAUAAUUAAGUUGAUUUCCAGCUUUAAAUGGCGUAUUAUAUUUCUAGCCAUUUACAUCGAGAUUAUAGUAACAUAUUUUUUUUAACCACCAACAUUAAGUAUAUGCCUCGCCUCCUGCUUUGUGAAAUAUAUCGGACUUCCAUACAACCUCUUCUUCGGUAUUAUUAUUCUUUUUCCUACAUUUCAUUCUUAGUAAGACUGACCUUCAGAUUCAUUCAUUCAUUCAGGAGAAGUGGGACAACAAUAAAAACGAACAUAAACAUCCAUGACGUAACCGAGAUACGAACGCGAAGUACAAGAUCGACAGACUGACACUCAGCCGACUCGAUUAUCAUGCCUUUUGCAUCAUCUCAAUUUUAG